This 207-nucleotide ribosomal RNA is filed under the name uncultured bacterium. Its description in RNAcentral is "partial 16S ribosomal RNA". It matches the Rfam family "Bacterial small subunit ribosomal RNA", at positions 568 to 774 of the family's 1533-position model. The record is from RNAcentral.
UGCGCAGGCGGUGAUGUAAGACCGAUGUGAAAUCCCCGGGCUUAACCUGGGAACUGCAUUGGUGACUGCAUUGCUGGAGUAUGGCAGAGGGGGGUGGAAUUCCACGUGUAGCAGUGAAAUGCGUAGAGAUGUGGAGGAACACCGAUGGCGAAGGCAGCCCCCUGGGCCAAUACUGACGCUCAUGCACGAAAGCGUGGGGAGCAAACA